This 2777-nucleotide ribosomal RNA is filed under the name Escherichia coli. Its description in RNAcentral is "bacterial LSU rRNA". It matches the Rfam family "Bacterial large subunit ribosomal RNA". Lineage: Bacteria; Pseudomonadati; Pseudomonadota; Gammaproteobacteria; Enterobacterales; Enterobacteriaceae. The record is from RNAcentral.
GGGUUGUGAGGUUAAGCGACUAAGCGUACACGGUGGAUGCCCUGGCAGUCAGAGGCGAUGAAGGACGUGCUAAUCUGCGAUAAGCGUCGGUAAGGUGAUAUGAACCGUUAUAACCGGCGAUUUCCGAAUGGGGAAACCCAGUGUGUUUCGACACACUAUCAUUAACUGAAUCCAUAGGUUAAUGAGGCGAACCGGGGGAACUGAAACAUCUAAGUACCCCGAGGAAAAGAAAUCAACCGAGAUUCCCCCAGUAGCGGCGAGCGAACGGGGAGCAGCCCAGAGCCUGAAUCAGUGUGUGUGUUAGUGGAAGCGUCUGGAAAGGCGCGCGAUACAGGGUGACAGCCCCGUACACAAAAAUGCACAUGCUGUGAGCUCGAUGAGUAGGGCGGGACACGUGGUAUCCUGUCUGAAUAUGGGGGGACCAUCCUCCAAGGCUAAAUACUCCUGACUGACCGAUAGUGAACCAGUACCGUGAGGGAAAGGCGAAAAGAACCCGGCGAGGGAGUGAAAAGAACCUGAAACCGUGUACGUACAAGCAGUGGGAGCACGCUUAGGCGUGUGACUGCGUACCUUUUGUAUAAUGGGUCAGCGACUUAUAUUCUGUAGCAAGGUUAACCGAAUAGGGGAGCCGAAGGGAAACCGAGUCUUAACUGGGCGUUAAGUUGCAGGGUAUAGACCCGAAACCCGGUGAUCUAGCCAUGGGCAGGUUGAAGGUUGGGUAACACUAACUGGAGGACCGAACCGACUAAUGUUGAAAAAUUAGCGGAUGACUUGUGGCUGGGGUGAAAGGCCAAUCAAACCGGGAGAUAGCUGGUUCUCCCCGAAAGCUAUUUAGGUAGCGCCUCGUGAAUUCAUCUCCGGGGGUAGAGCACUGUUUCGGCAAGGGGGUCAUCCCGACUUACCAACCCGAUGCAAACUGCGAAUACCGGAGAAUGUUAUCACGGGAGACACACGGCGGGUGCUAACGUCCGUCGUGAAGAGGGAAACAACCCAGACCGCCAGCUAAGGUCCCAAAGUCAUGGUUAAGUGGGAAACGAUGUGGGAAGGCCCAGACAGCCAGGAUGUUGGCUUAGAAGCAGCCAUCAUUUAAAGAAAGCGUAAUAGCUCACUGGUCGAGUCGGCCUGCGCGGAAGAUGUAACGGGGCUAAACCAUGCACCGAAGCUGCGGCAGCGACGCUGAUGCGUUGUUGGGUAGGGGAGCGUUCUGUAAGCCUGCGAAGGUGUGCUGUGAGGCAUGCUGGAGGUAUCAGAAGUGCGAAUGCUGACAUAAGUAACGAUAAAGCGGGUGAAAAGCCCGCUCGCCGGAAGACCAAGGGUUCCUGUCCAACGUUAAUCGGGGCAGGGUGAGUCGACCCUAAGGCGAGGCCGAAAGGCGUAGUCGAUGGGAAACAGGUUAAUAUUCCUGUACUUGGUGUUACUGCGAAGGGGGGACGGAGAAGGCUAUGUUGGCCGGGCGACGGUUGUCCCGGUUUAAGCGUGUAGGCUGGUUUUCCAGGCAAAUCCGGAAAAUCAAGGCUGAGGCGUGAUGACGAGGCACUACGGUGCUGAAGCAACAAAUGCCCUGCUUCCAGGAAAAGCCUCUAAGCAUCAGGUAACAUCAAAUCGUACCCCAAACCGACACAGGUGGUCAGGUAGAGAAUACCAAGGCGCUUGAGAGAACUCGGGUGAAGGAACUAGGCAAAAUGGUGCCGUAACUUCGGGAGAAGGCACGCUGAUAUGUAGGUGAAGUCCCUCGCGGAUGGAGCUGAAAUCAGUCGAAGAUACCAGCUGGCUGCAACUGUUUAUUAAAAACACAGCACUGUGCAAACACGAAAGUGGACGUAUACGGUGUGACGCCUGCCCGGUGCCGGAAGGUUAAUUGAUGGGGUCAGCGCAAGCGAAGCUCUUGAUCGAAGCCCCGGUAAACGGCGGCCGUAACUAUAACGGUCCUAAGGUAGCGAAAUUCCUUGUCGGGUAAGUUCCGACCUGCACGAAUGGCGUAAUGAUGGCCAGGCUGUCUCCACCCGAGACUCAGUGAAAUUGAACUCGCUGUGAAGAUGCAGUGUACCCGCGGCAAGACGGAAAGACCCCGUGAACCUUUACUAUAGCUUGACACUGAACAUUGAGCCUUGAUGUGUAGGAUAGGUGGGAGGCUUGGAAGUGUGGACGCCAGUCUGCAUGGAGCCGACCUUGAAAUACCACCCUUUAAUGUUUGAUGUUCUAACGUUGACCCGUAAUCCGGGUUGCGGACAGUGUCUGGUGGGUAGUUUGACUGGGGCGGUCUCCUCCUAAAGAGUAACGGAGGAGCACGAAGGUUGGCUAAUCCUGGUCGGACAUCAGGAGGUUAGUGCAAUGGCAUAAGCCAGCUUGACUGCGAGCGUGACGGCGCGAGCAGGUGCGAAAGCAGGUCAUAGUGAUCCGGUGGUUCUGAAUGGAAGGGCCAUCGCUCAACGGAUAAAAGGUACUCCGGGGAUAACAGGCUGAUACCGCCCAAGAGUUCAUAUCGACGGCGGUGUUUGGCACCUCGAUGUCGGCUCAUCACAUCCUGGGGCUGAAGUAGGUCCCAAGGGUAUGGCUGUUCGCCAUUUAAAGUGGUACGCGAGCUGGGUUUAGAACGUCGUGAGACAGUUCGGUCCCUAUCUGCCGUGGGCGCUGGAGAACUGAGGGGGGCUGCUCCUAGUACGAGAGGACCGGAGUGGACGCAUCACUGGUGUUCGGGUUGUCAUGCCAAUGGCACUGCCCGGUAGCUAAAUGCGGAAGAGAUAAGUGCUGAAAGCAUCUAAGCACGAAACUUGCCC